Molecule: long non-coding RNA, 2300 nt
Filed under: Salmo salar (Atlantic salmon)
Lineage: Eukaryota; Metazoa; Chordata; Actinopteri; Salmoniformes; Salmonidae
Description: lncRNA (ENSSSAG00000095930.1, ENSSSAG00000107674.1)
Source: RNAcentral
CCAGGAUGGGGAAAGGGGAGUGAUAUUAGACCUAUGUUGGGUUUAUUUAUAUAAAUCUAUACUCGACUGCUCUGUGUUUGUUUUUUGGAGGGGGGGGCAGUGAGUCAAAGCAGACGCUAUUGCCUCGCUAAAAAAGUAUAACCUUCUCUAGCGGAGGAAUCAGCUCUCAAACUACAAAACCCAGGGCAACUAACUGAACGUCGUGAAGGAUCUAGCUACGCAUGGUCGUUAUUUGAUACGUGGAACAUCGGACAGAGACUUGCUAGUAGCUACAUAGCUAACUAUAGCCAUGAAUCAGAUGCAGGACGGGUGGGAGAAAUUAAUAGGCGAAUAUCGCAGCCAAUCACAACACUGGCGGACAAUGCUAGCCCGCACCCCUCCGCCCUCCCAGAAUCCCUGUGUAGUGCCUCUUCUGGUAGCGCCUUACUGCUGGGUCUGAAGAGGGUGACUGUGCGGCUGGUCGACUGCAGGAAAACAACGGGGCUGAGUGGAACUACAAGACGAGGAGACAAGGAGGAAGAGGGAGAUUUGACUGAUCAAAGUAAAAGACUGCUGGGUCUGAAGAGGGUGUCUGUGCGGCUGGUCGACUGCAGGAAAACAACGGGGCUGAGUGGACCUAUGAGAGGAGGAGGAGAAGAAGAUGACGAGGGAGAUUUGACUGAUCAAAAUAAGUAGGAUGUUUAUGUAGGAGCAGAAUGUGUUUACUUUGGACUUCAACCUUCACAUUACUAAUAUGAAGAAGACGCAGAAGAAGCAGCUGCUAUCCUACUAGGAGCAUGAAACACGACUCAUCUCCUGGCGGCACACAACAUUUAAAAUAAAAUGUUUUUAUAAUAAAUAUUCUGCACUGGCAUUUGAACAAAAUACUAAUAUUCUGACCAUUAUGAGUAACUUCAUUGUGUAGUAGAUCUUAAAUAAUCCUUAAAUGUGAUUAGGAAGUGGAAUCUGGACCAGUGGUGAGAAUCCUCAUUCAACAUUAACAUGAUUAGGAAGUGGAAUCUGGACCAACAGAUCUUACAGGAAGUACAGGUCGUAAAAACAUUGUCUUGAGACGCCAUGACACGUCAAGACAUAAGAAAACUAUAUUUAGGGAAGUGUCUUCAAGACAUUUUCUAGGCUCUUCCCGACAGCUAAAGGGAUUCUCUACUUUACGCUCAGUCUCUGCUCUACUCAUUUGGCUAAUCAGAGAACAGGCUACUCUGGAAAGAAUUGUUAAAUCAAAGCUCAAUCGAUGUCCUCAAGAUCACAUAAUGAUAGGAUUCUACAUAACAGAACCGAAUAUAAACAGAACACACAGAGACUGUGUGUGUAAAGUAGAGAAUCCCGUACAUCCACAUGUGCAGAAGCUUCAGGACAUUUAGCUGUCGGGAAGAGGGGUCCGGAAAAGUCGGACCUGUAGCCACUCCGUUUUUUAUAUUAGUGGUUUGAGAGAUGCCAUGAAAUGUUUUAAGACAUACAUUUUGAAGACAUGUCUUGAGACAUAAUGGCAUCUUAAGAUGUCUUUAAAAAAGUAUAUGUCUUGAAGUGUCUCAAGAUGUCUCAACUUGUGACGGCUGGGUAUGUAGGUUUCUAAACGAUCAGGAACACAUUUUCGCAGUCUUCACUUUGGACUUCCAUAGUCCGAUUGUGUUAGAAAACCAUUUUUGGUGAAAGGUGGUAAUAAAGGGAACAAAGACGGUGUGAUGAACGUUUACAUUUUACAUUUACGUCAUUUAGCAGACGCUCUUAUCCAGAGCGACUUACAACAUAUCUUCUGUCGUUGGCUUUUAUCCUUUUAUGGAAAUAGGGAGAAUGUGCAUUUUAUAGCUAAUAAAAGUGUUGAACAAAUUGUUGCUAGUUCUGAGUAACUUAAACAUCAGCUCUUUGUUGUAUUCGUUGAGUCUUUCUCUAGUCAUGUUUUUCAAAGUUUUGAAAUCUCACAAUAUCCAAUUGGCUGUGCGUUCGAGGUUUCUUUUUACAGUCUAUGGCUCGUGGGAACUGCAGACACAGUGAUCUGAGCUAUCUGAUUGGCCAGUGGUAGGCCUAUAGGUGCACUUGAUUUGCUCUCUGGGCCUGUCAGGUAGGCGUAGUUCUACCUUCAAACACAUUAAAUGGUUAAAAUGGGAACACGUUGCCUUCCCGGUGCUAGGGCUGUUGAAUUUGGGUGCACAUACAACCAACAGCGCGCAACGAAUAAAAAAUAAAUGGGAACAGGUUUUAUCUUAGUUUUUUUUACAGAAAUGUUUAGUGAUCAACUAGGAAUGCCUUUGAGGUCGACCAGUCGGUGACCACUGUAGUAAGAUGUUCUCUCAAUUGGCAAG